GGGCCCAUAGUCUAGUGGUUAUGACGUCGCCUUUACACGGCGAAGGUCACCGGUUCGAAUCCGGUUGGGCCCA
This 73-nucleotide transfer RNA is filed under the name Nanobdellota archaeon. RNAcentral's name for it is "Nanoarchaeota archaeon tRNA-Val". It matches the Rfam family "tRNA". From Rfam's summary of the family: Transfer RNA (tRNA) molecules are approximately 80 nucleotides in length. Their secondary structure includes four short double-helical elements and three loops (D, anti-codon, and T loops). The record is from RNAcentral. Lineage: Archaea; Nanobdellati; Nanobdellota.